UCGCCGCGCCCGCCUCUCUGAUCCGGCCCGGCCCGGCGCGGCCCGGGAGCGGGCCCGGCUGCCUCGGGGGCGCCGGACUGCUGCUUCCCGGCUCCGGGCUGUGGACAUGCCAAGGGGCUGCAGGAGGCUGUACCGCCCCAGCUUGUUUGGAAAUACGUGAUCCAAACCUGAGCAAACUGACUGCAGACAUUUUUGUGAACCUUAUAGGCUUUGGUUCAGAAUCUGUGAUACAAGAGAAUCCACUUUACAGAACGGGGGUGUAAUUCCAUCAAGGACUUCUGGUGACCUCAUAAACCAUGAGAGCUGGCACGGACUUUAAUGGGCACCACGUGGUUAAGUUUCCAUGCAUCAUUUUGAAAAUGUAGGGCUUCAUUUGAUAUUGCAAAAGGAUACUAGACCUACCAUGUCAAAUUGUUUCUCUUUCUUCUAAAGGAACCACCCGCUUUAUGUUACAGUCAGUCCUCUUUGGUAGCAAAUGAAAUAUGCCUUUCUGGAAAAUUAGUAUUUUCUCUGGCAAAAUGAACUUGAAAAGUGUGUUUCAUAGAAAAGCACAUAUUUGGGUUACAUUCUUUUAAAUAAACUUUCUAAAAUGAUGGCAGUAAAUUCAA
Long non-coding RNA from Vidua chalybeata, 608 nucleotides. RefSeq lists it as uncharacterized. The transcript has 2 exons. Lineage: Eukaryota; Metazoa; Chordata; Aves; Passeriformes; Viduidae. The record is from RefSeq and is a predicted model, not a curated record.